GGGACUGCGGCGGGCGCGACCCCCUCCUGGGGGUCCGACGGGACUGCGGCGGGGCGCGACCCCCUCCUGGGGGUCCGCCGGGACUGCGGCUGGCGGCGACCCCCUCCUGGGGGUCCGCCGGGACUGCGGCCGGCGCGACCCCCUCCUGGGGGUCCGCCGGGACUGCGGCCGGCGCGACCCCCUCCUGGGGGUCCGCCGGGACUGCGGCCGGCGCAACCCCCUCCUGGAGGUGCGCAGGAACUGCGGCCGGCGCAACCUCCUCCUGGAGGUGCGCAGGAACUGCGGCUGGCGCAACCUCCUCCUGGAGGUGCGCAGGAACUGCGGCUGGCGCAACCUCCUCCUGGAGGUGCGCAGGAACUGCGGCUGGCGCAACCUCCUCCUGGAGGUGCGCAGGAGCUGUAGCGACCUCCUCCUGGGGACCGGCGGGCGCUGCGGCUCCACGGGUGACGGGGACUGGAACGACCGCUACAGGGCCGACAGGAACGGGGACUGGAACGACCGCUACAGGGUCGACAGGAACGGGGACUGAAACGACCGCUACAGGGUCGACAGGAACGGGGACUGGAACGACCGCUACAGGGCCGACAGGAACGGGGACUGGAACGACCGCUACAGGGUCGACAGGAACGGGGACUGGAACGACCGCUACAGGGUCGACAGGAACGGGGUCAGAGACAGGGGUGACCUCUACUUGGCCUACGGGAACGCCCUCUACUUGGCCUACGGGAACGCCCUCUACUCGGCCUACGGGAACGCCCUCUACUUGGCCUACGGGAACGCCCUCUACUUGGCCUACGGGAACGCCCUCUACUUGGCCUACAGGAACAGGAACUGGAACGACCUCAAUUUGGUCGGCAGGGACAGGGACUGGAACGACCUCAAUUUGGAUGGCAGGGACAGGGACUGGAACGACCUCAACUUGGUCGGCAGGGACAGGAACUGGAACGACCUCAACAUGGCCGACAGGGACAGGAACUGGAACGACCUCGACAUGGCCGACAGGAACUGGAACGACCUCGACAUGGCCGACAGGAACUGGAACGACCUCAACAUGGCCGACAGGAACUGGAACGACCUCAACAUGGCCGACAGGAACUGGAACGACCUCAACAUGGCCGACAGGAACUGGAGCGGCGUCCCCUCCGGAGCUGGCAUGACAGCUUACAGCUGCCGAGCUCGACGGGGGAGACGUCGGGCCUGAUUGGGUGGGGUUAACAGUCGUCAGACGGACGGCGCCCUCUGACGGGGACAAGGACGGAACUGGGGUCAGGGCAACACACGACUGAUCUGGGGUCUGGGCAACACACGGCUGAUCUGGGGUCUGGGCAACACACGGCUGAUCUGGGGUCUGGGCAACACACGGCUGAUCUGGGGUCUGGGCAACACACGGCUGAUCUGGGGUCUGGACUAGGUUCGACUGGGCUGGGACCUGGAGACGACAGGGCUGCACCGGGGCAUGAGUAACACACGGCUGACCUGACUGAGAGGUGGGGCAUGAAGCGACCGCUGGCUGCAGGCCCGGGAGUUGCAGGGCCUCACGCAGGACAGGCUCCCUCCGGACGAGAGCGGCUGCUUCCUCGAACAGUUGUUCUCUCGCGCCCUGGUCUGUAGCCGAAUUGGCGGUGUUCAUGAGGUGGGCGAAGAGAAAGGCAACUGGAGGAGAGCAGAGGAGGUGGACCCGUCGGGCGACGCUGUCUGGGAUGCCUGUUAUCAGAGGGACACAGUCAGUCAGAGAAUUAAGGGGCUCCUCUGUCGGGGAAGAAGGCUGCUCGGUCCCCAUGACCGAGACCGCGGGACCCGGGAUCCUGGACCCGCGCCGCCGCCGUCGCCGUCCGGAGCAGCUGCGACUGUCCGUCGUUUGAGGCGCUGGGCGCGGUGUGGACCGGACCUCUGUACCGGGAUCCGCAUGGUGAAACGGGGCCGCGGCGUCUGGAGCUUGGGCUGGAGACUGGGGAAAACACGAUUGAGCAGGAGACUGGGCAAAACACGAUUGAGCUGGAGACUGGGCAAAGCACGAUUGAGCUGGAGAUUGAACAGCGCGCGGCUGAACUGGAGACUGAGCAGCGCGCGGCUGAUCUGGAGACUGAGCAGCGCGCGGCUGACUUGGAGGCUGAGCAGCGCGCGGCUGAACUGGAGACUGAGCAGCGCGCGGCUGAACGGGAGACUGAGCAGCGCGCGGCUGAACUGGAGGCUGAGGACCGCGUGAGAGCAGGAAAUCCUCCCAGGGAAAUAACCAUGGAGCUGGGCAGGUUGGUGCAGGCACGACGAUCCGACGAGGCGGAGAGGAUGAAACCGAAACCAUACUUCCGCGGGGGGAGUUAUAUUUGCCGUAAAAAACAAGGGGAAAAACAGUCACUGACCUGACCGGAGGCUAAGUGCUGGCUGGGUCCAAGUGUGGCCAGAUUGUUCUGUCAGGGACUCGGGCAGGCGGCGAACCCACAUGCACAGCACAGAGGCAGGAUUACGAUCAGAAAGGUUUAUUCUUAAGGCACGGUCAGACGGUCCAGGUCAUACACGAAAUGGCUCGACAAAAGUACAGGCAGGGAACAGGCAAAAACUCACGGUCAGCAGAUACUCCAGGGUCAGGCAGGAUACAUGGUGCAAACAGGAAUAAACACGAAAAAACACGAACA
RNAcentral lists this long non-coding RNA (2633 nucleotides) under Betta splendens (Siamese fighting fish). RNAcentral's name for it is "lncRNA (ENSBSLG00000004395.1)". The record is from RNAcentral. Lineage: Eukaryota; Metazoa; Chordata; Actinopteri; Anabantiformes; Osphronemidae.